UUAAGCGACUAAGCGUACACGGUGGAUGCCCUGGCAGUCAGAGGCGAUGAAGGACGUGCUAAUCUGCGAAAAGCGUCGGUAAGGUGAUAUGAACCGUUAUANCACUAUCGUUAACUGAAUACAUAGGUUAACGAGGCGAACCGGGGGAACUGAAACAUCUAAGUACCCCGAGGAAAAGAAAUCAACCGAGAUUCCCCCAGUAGCGGCGAGCGAACGGGGAGCAGCCCAGAGUCUGAAUCAGCUUGUGUGUUAGUGGAACGGUCUGGAAAGUCCGACGGUACAGGGUGAUAGUCCCGUACACCAAAAUGCACAGGCUGUGAACUCGAAGAGUAGGGCGGGACACGUGGUAUCCUGUCUGAAUAUGGGGGGACCAUCCUCCAAGGCUAAAUACUCCUGACUGACCGAUAGUGAACCAGUACCGUGAGGGAAAGGCGAAAAGAACCCCGGCGAGGGGAGUGAAAAAGAACCUGAAACCGUGUACGUACAAGCAGUGGGAGCACCUUCGGGUGUGACUGCGUACCUUUUGUAUAAUGGGUCAGCGACUUAUAUUCUGUAGCAAGGUUAACCGUAUAGGGGAGCCGCAGGGAAACCGAGUCUUAACUGGGCGUUAAGUUGCAGGGUAUAGACCCGAAACCCGGUGAUCUAGCCAUGGGCAGGUUGAAGGUUGGGUAACACUAACUGGAGGACCGAACCGACUAAUGUUGAAAAAUUAGCGGAUGACUUGUGGCUGGGGGUGAAAGGCCAAUCAAACCGGGAGAUAGCUGGUUCUCCCCGAAAGCUAUUUAGGUAGCGCCUCGUGAACUCAUCUUCGGGGGUAGAGCACUGUUUCGGCUAGGGGGUCAUCCCGACUUACCAACCCGAUGCAAACUACGAAUACCGAAGAAUGUUAUCACGGGAGACACACGGCGGGUGCUAACGUCCGUCGUGAAGAGGGAAACAACCCAGACCGCCAGCUAAGGUCCCAAAGUCAUGGUUAAGUGGGAAACGAUGUGGGAAGGCACAGACAGCCAGGAUGUUGGCUUAGAAGCAGCCAUCAUUUAAAGAAAGCGUAAUAGCUCACUGGUCGAGUCGGCCUGCGCGGAAGAUGUAACGGGGCUAAACCAUGCACCGAAGCUGCGGCAGCGACACUAUGUGUUGUUGGGUAGGGGAGCGUUCUGUAAGCCUGCGAAGGUGACCUGUGAGGGUUGCUGGAGGUAUCAGAAGUGCGAAUGCUGACAUAAGUAACGAUAAAGCGGGUGAAAAGCCCGCUCGCCGGAAGACCAAGGGUUCCUGUCCAACGUUAAUCGGGGCAGGGUGAGUCGACCCCUAAGGCGAGGCCGAAAGGCGUAGUCGAUGGGAAACAGGUUAAUAUUCCUGUACUUGGUGUUACUGCGAAGGGGGGACGGAGAAGGCUAUGUUAGCCGGGCGACGGUUGUCCCGGUUUAAGCAUGUAGGCUGAUUGUCCAGGCAAAUCCGGAUAAUCAAGGCUGAGGUGUGAUGACGAGGCACUACGGUGCUGAAGUAACAAAUGCCCUGCUUCCAGGAAAAGCCUCUAAGCAUCAGGUAACAUCAAAUCGUACCCCAAACCGACACAGGUGGUCAGGUAGAGAAUACCAAGGCGCUUGAGAGAACUCGGGUGAAGGAACUAGGCAAAAUGGUGCCGUAACUUCGGGAGAAGGCACGCUGGUGUGUAGGUGAAGNUGGAGCUGAGACCAGUCGAAGAUACCAGCUGGCUGCAACUGUUUAUUAAAAACACAGCACUGUGCAAACACGAAAGUGGACGUAUACGGUGUGACGCCUGCCCGGUGCCGGAAGGUUAAUUGAUGGGGUUAUCCGUAAGGAGAAGCUCUUGAUCGAAGCCCCGGUAAACGGCGGCCGUAACUAUAACGGUCCUAAGGUAGCGAAAUUCCUUGUCGGGUAAGUUCCGACCUGCACGAAUGGCGUAAUGAUGGCCAGGCUGUCUCCACCCGAGACUCAGUGAAAUUGAACUCGCUGUGAAGAUGCAGUGUACCCGCGGCAAGACGGAAAGACCCCGUGAACCUUUACUAUAGCUUGACACUGAACAUUGAGCCUUGAUGUGUAGGAUAGGUGGGAGGCUUUGAAGCGUGGACGCCAGUCUGCGUGGAGCCAACCUUGAAAUACCACCCUUUAAUGUUUGAUGUUCUAACGUUGGCCCCUGACCGGGGUUGCGGACAGUGUCUGGUGGGUAGUUUGACUGGGGCGGUCUCCUCCCAAAGCGUAACGGAGGAGCACGAAGGUUAGCUAAUCCUGGUCGGACAUCAGGAGGUUAGUGCAAUGGCAUAAGCUAGCUUGACUGCGAGCGUGACGGCGCGAGCAGGUGCGAAAGCAGGUCAUAGUGAUCCGGUGGUUCUGAAUGGAAGGGCCAUCGCUCAACGGAUAAAAGGUACUCCGGGGAUAACAGGCUGAUACCGCCCAAGAGUUCAUAUCGACGGCGGUGUUUGGCACCUCGAUGUCGGCUCAUCACAUCCUGGGGCUGAAGUAGGUCCCAAGGGUAUGGCUGUUCGCCAUUUAAAGUGGUACGCGAGCUGGGUUUAGAACGUCGUGAGACAGUUCGGUCCCUAUCUGCCGUGGGCGCUGGAGAAUUGAGGGGGGCUGCUCCUAGUACGAGAGGACCGGAGUGGACGCAUCACUGGUGUUCGGGUUGUCAUGCCAAUGGCACUGCCCGGUAGCUAAAUGCGGAAGAGAUAAGUGCUGAAAGCAUCUAAGCACGAAACUUGCCCCGAGAUGAGUUCUCCCUGAGACUUUAAGUCUCCUGAAGGAACGUUNGACGUUGAUAGGCCGGGUGUGUAAGCGCAGCGAUGCGUUGAGCUAACCGGUACUAAUGAACCGUGAGGCUUAACCUU
This 2843-nucleotide ribosomal RNA is filed under the name Klebsiella pneumoniae. RNAcentral's name for it is "bacterial LSU rRNA". It matches the Rfam family "Bacterial large subunit ribosomal RNA". The record is from RNAcentral. Lineage: Bacteria; Pseudomonadati; Pseudomonadota; Gammaproteobacteria; Enterobacterales; Enterobacteriaceae.